AGGGGGCCGCAAAAUCCAUCAGACUAUCACCAAGUUUGCAAAUUUAAAUUUUCUCAGAGUGGUAGACUUGUCUCAAAACCAACUCACGGGGCCCAUUCCGUAGGCAGUGCACUUUGAUACCUUCGGAAAUACUUUAUACACUGGAAACUUGUGGUUGUGCGGAUUUCAACUGUCAAAAGAAUACAGAAGAUAUGAGACAUUACAACCAACCUCAAAAUUGAAAGCCUCGGUGGCUUGUAAGGAUCGUUGAAGGAGGACACCGUCAAAAGGGGAGAAGGCCAAACAAGAGACAAUGUGGAAGAAAAGAGUAGUUCUUACAAGUUCUC
Long non-coding RNA from Pistacia vera, 326 nucleotides. RefSeq lists it as uncharacterized. The transcript has 3 exons. Lineage: Eukaryota; Viridiplantae; Streptophyta; Magnoliopsida; Sapindales; Anacardiaceae. The record is from RefSeq and is a predicted model, not a curated record.